UACGUAGGGUGCGAGCGUUAAUCGGAAUUACUGGGCGUAAAGCGUGCGCAGGCGGUUUUGUAAGCCAGAUGUGAAAUCCCCGGGCUCAACCUGGGAAUGGCAUUUGGGACUGCAAGGCUUGAGUGCGGCAGAGGAGACUGGAACUCCUGGUGUAGCAGUGAAAUGCGUAGAUAUCAGGAGGAAUACCGAUGGCGAAGGCAGGUCUCUGGGCUGACACUGACGCUCAUGCACGAAAGCGUGGGGAGCAAACAGG
RNAcentral lists this ribosomal RNA (253 nucleotides) under uncultured bacterium. Its description in RNAcentral is "partial 16S ribosomal RNA". It matches the Rfam family "Bacterial small subunit ribosomal RNA", at positions 524 to 776 of the family's 1533-position model. The record is from RNAcentral.